CUACGGGAGGCAGCAGUGAGGAAUUUUCGGCAAUGGGCGCAAGCCUGACCGAGCAACGCCGCGUGCAGGAGGAAGGUCUUCGGAUCGUAAACUGCUUUUCUCUGGGACGAGGAUGGACGGUACCAGAGGAAGAAGCCCCGCUGACUACGUGCCAGCAGCCGCGGUAAUACGUAGGGGGCGAGCGUUGUCCGGAGUUACUGGGCGUAAAGCCCCCGCAGGCGGUCGGUCGCGUUUGAGGUAACAGCUCCUGGCUUACCUGGGAGAGCGUCUCAAAAACGGCUGACUUGAGGACCAGAGAGGGACACGGAAUUCCGGGUGUAGUGGUGAAAUGCGUAGAUAUCCGGAGGAACACCGAAGGCGCAGGCAGUGUCCUGGCUGGCACCUGACGCUCAGGGGCGAAAGCUAGGGGAGCGAACGGGAUUAGAUACCCCGGUAGUCCUAGCCGUAAACGAUGACCACUAGGUGUGCGGGGUAUCGACCCCCUGCGUGCCGUAGCUAA
Molecule: ribosomal RNA, 499 nt
Filed under: Ktedonobacter sp.
Lineage: Bacteria; Bacillati; Chloroflexota; Ktedonobacteria; Ktedonobacterales; Ktedonobacteraceae
Description: bacterial SSU rRNA
Rfam family: Bacterial small subunit ribosomal RNA
Source: RNAcentral